UUUCAUUCAAAUUUGUCCAUUCAUUCAUACAAAACCGUUUACAAACACAUACAAAGAAAAUUAUAAAAAAAAUGCUUCUUUGAACAAAGGUUGACUUUGGCUAACAAUUGACUUUUUGGUCAACUUUGACCAAAGUCAACCAUUUAAGACUUAAGACCUAACUCUAACUUCUUCAUCCAUCAUCCUCAUGAUCAUGUGCUUUUAAGCUUCAUGCCAAUUUUCUUCCAUGCCAUGCCACUUUCUCUUUGCACAUGAAUACCUUAAAAGGGCAAAACAAAGCCAUAAGUAUUGUCUUCAAGUUUAAAACAUGACUUUCCAAGGCAACCAUGACAUGUCAUUCAAUGGCAAUGUAAUAUCAACACCAUUGAUUUAGUAGUAGUAACAUUGACAUAGCUUAACAUUUUAACAAACUCAUAACAUUCAUUUCAUAACCAUCCUUGAAUUUGCUACCACUAACUUUUUCUUAACAUGAACAAACCAUUUCCAAUUUAUAACUAUGCAUGGACCAAAGCAAAUCGAAACUAACAAUUAAUCAUAAUUUCAGUUUUCAUAAUAAUGCAUUCAUCAACCAUUCCAAAACAUGACAAGUGCACCAAAACUAGGAACCAAAAGACUUCAAAAUCGCAAAUAAAGUUUCUAUGUGAUUACCUUACCACUAAGCUUGGGGAUUUUUUUGCCUUCUACUAUUGCUGCCCCUUUCAACAUAAUGUAUAUCCGUGGACUUCAUCAUUCAACAAUGUAUGAAUCACUAGUUCCAUGACCUACUGUCAGAAUCAAACAGAGAAAGCAAUUUAGCAUGAUCAUUACCAUCAUUUUCAUAGAAUUUUAGUCAUGACAAGAAUCAUGUUAGGGUUUCUAAUUUGCUAGCAGCAUUUAACAAGAACAACAGUUAAUUCGGUAUCUCAAUGCAGAGCUAAACCAACUCACUUCAGACCCAUAACAAAGUCAAUUAAUCACCAAAAACUAACUUCUAAUUUAACUAAUUCUGAGUUACAUGUCAACCUACCUACUAACCAAUUAACCAAUACCUACUGGAGUUCCACAUAACUGACAUAUUGACCUACAAAUAAACUAAUAUUAAUCAGUUUUCUAAUUGAACUAACAAGCUCAAACACUAACCCUACAGAACCAAUGGAUGAAAUAUAACAGAAAAUUCAAAAGAUUUCCAACGACACAUUCAUGUAACAAGGCUCAUUGCAGCUCACCAUUAGUUAACCUGGGUGUAGCGAUACAUAAUCUUUUCAUCCUAACCUAAACUAACUUAUUCCAAUUGCAAAUAACAGAAAUCCUGAAUUUAUAACUAACAUUACAUUUCAUGUGAAUUUCAUCUAAAUUUCUGACAUGCUUGGGGCUCUAUAUAAGCGUACCUUCACUGUAAUUUUGGGAGGGGAUUCAUUAUUCAGAUUUCAUUUCAAACUCUUCCAAAAGCUCUGAGAGUUCUGAUUCGUUCUUCACUCUCACUUUUCAUUCAUACAAGCAAAUUGAAUCUUCAGUCUUCUUGGAUUCAUACAUUCACACGCAGAAUCCUCUUCAUACAGGCACCAGAAACACACGAAUCACGUCACAUCAAAGGGAGAUCGAAGAAGAUUCAAGAAGAAGGAAUCGAAGACGAAUGAUUACCUCGUGGAGCACCGAGAAGCCGCUGUGCUUGAACGCUGCUUCGGUACACUUUAACCUUAUUGAAUUUAUCUCCUACUUGCAUUUCGUUUUGAGUUGGUGAUGGCGUGUUUGAGUUUUGGCGGAUUCUUCACGGCGUGUUCGGAAUUUGAGAUCUGAGCUUCAAUUCAGAUUCACGUAUUCGUUGCAACCUUCAACGAUUUGGAAAACUCAGGAGUAUGUUCUUUGAUUUGGAGUUUCAUAACUUGAAUCCAGAAUGCGAAGGAGAAUGAAGAACGCGAUGCUGAAUAUUGGAACGUGAUACUGACUUUUUCAUAUGAGCGCCUUUGUUCUUCAGCUUGGUGAACUUUCCCAUUUUGUAGCUUGGAUUAGGUUUGGUCCUAAGGCUUAAACGAUUUGUUCUAUGCACACACUUGCCAUGGACCUACAACUCCCUAGAGCGACCGCGCUUGGCUGGACAUGUGGCCCAUUCUGAAUCCCUCAUGGAACCCCUUUUUUGGCAACUGUUCAGCGCUUGGGCUUUGAGCUCCAGGCCCAAACGUUUUUGCUGGCUAACACCCACAUUCCAAACGCAU
RNAcentral lists this long non-coding RNA (2192 nucleotides) under Lathyrus oleraceus (garden pea). RNAcentral describes it as "Pisum sativum (pea) long non-coding RNA (PSAT_LNC036337)". The record is from RNAcentral. Lineage: Eukaryota; Viridiplantae; Streptophyta; Magnoliopsida; Fabales; Fabaceae.